UACGUAGGGUGCAAGCGUUUGUCCGGAAUUAUUGGGCGUAAAGAGCUCGUAGGCGGUUUGUCGCGUCUGCUGUGAAAACGCGAGGCUCAACCUCGCGCCUGCAGUGGGUACGGGCAGACUAGAGUGCGGUAGGGGAGAUUGGAAUUCCUGGUGUAGCGGUGGAAUGCGCAGAUAUCAGGAGGAACACCGAUGGCGAAGGCGGGUCUCUGGGCCGAUACUGACGCUGGAGGAGCGAAAGCGUGGGGAGCGAACAGG
Molecule: ribosomal RNA, 255 nt
Filed under: uncultured bacterium
Lineage: Bacteria
Description: partial 16S ribosomal RNA
Rfam family: Bacterial small subunit ribosomal RNA
Source: RNAcentral